Molecule: ribosomal RNA, 457 nt
Filed under: uncultured bacterium
Lineage: Bacteria
Description: partial 16S ribosomal RNA
Rfam family: Bacterial small subunit ribosomal RNA
Source: RNAcentral
GAUGAACGCUGGCGGCGUGCCUAAUACAUGCAAGUCGAGCGGUAAGGCCCUUCGGGGUACACGAGCGGCGGACGGCUGAGUAACACGUAGGAACCUACCCCAAACUGAGGGAUAAGCACCAGAAAUGGUGUCUAAUACCGCAUGUGCUCUACGGAGUAAAGCUUCGGCGGUUUGGGAAGGGCCUGCGUCCGAUUAGCUAGUUGGUGGUAUAAAAGACUACCAAGGCGACGAUCGGUAGCUGGUCUGAGAGGAUGAUCAGCCAGACUGGGACUGAGACACGGCCCAGACUCCUACGGGAGGCAGCAGUAGGGAAUUUCCCACAAUGGGCGAAAGCCUGAUGGAGCAACGCCGCGUGCAGGAUGAAUGCCUCCGGGUUGUAAACUGCUUUUAUCUGUGACGAAUAUGACGGUAGCAGAUGAAUAAGGACCUGCUAACUACGUGCCAGCAGCCGCAGUAA